GAUGAACGCUGGCGGCGUGCCUAAUACAUGCCAGUCGAGCGAACAGACGAGGAGCUUGCUCCUCUGACGUUAGCGGCGGACGGGUGAGUAACACGUGGAUAACCUACCUAUAAGACUGGGAUAACUUCGGGAAACCGGAGCUAAUACCGGAUAAUAUAUUGAACCGCAUGGUUCAAUAGGGAAAGACGGUUUUGCGGUCACUUAUAGAUGGAUCCGCGCCGCAUUAGCUAGUUGGUAAGGUAACGGCUUACCAAGGCAACGAUGCGUAGCCGACCUGGGAGGGUGAUCGGCCACACUGGAACUGAGACACGGUCCAGACUCCUACGGGAGGCAGCAGUAGGGAAUCUUCCGCAAUGGGCGAAAGCCUGACGGAGCAACGCCGCGUGAGUGAUGAAGGUCUUCGGAUCGUAAAACUCUGUUAUUAGGGAAGAACAAAUGUGUAAGUAACUAUGCACGUCUUGACGGUACCUAAUCAGAAAGCCACGGCUAACUACGUG
RNAcentral lists this ribosomal RNA (497 nucleotides) under uncultured bacterium. RNAcentral describes it as "partial 16S ribosomal RNA". It matches the Rfam family "Bacterial small subunit ribosomal RNA", at positions 28 to 507 of the family's 1533-position model. The record is from RNAcentral.